Corvus hawaiiensis (hawaiian crow) is the source of this 1223-nucleotide long non-coding RNA. RefSeq lists it as uncharacterized. The record is from RefSeq and is a predicted model, not a curated record. The transcript is spliced from 4 exons. Lineage: Eukaryota; Metazoa; Chordata; Aves; Passeriformes; Corvidae.
AUCAAAAAGAGAAAAGAAGACAGAGAAAAAUUCUUGUCUUAUAGACAUCAGCACAUUCACUGCCAGAUGAAGACCUUGGUAUAUUCACUUCUUGCCUUGUCCCCACUCCUGGCAUCAGGUAACCCAGUCUGCUCACAGCAGCUAAAAAGCAGCACCUGGACUUUAUACCCUGCCCAGCACAGCUACAAUCAACAGCACGAAGACACCUGGCCUUACUGUUCUGGGGUUCCCUGUGCUCCACUCUGGUGCAUGAACCUCCAUGGGCUGGGGAGAAACAAAAGCACGGGAAAUCAGGAAGCUGGAAGAAAAUGCAUUUGACUUCUCCAUGUAGGAGCUGAUUACUUUUAGCCACUGCAACAGCUUGUCGCUGGUCUCUCCUGAGUAUUUGUGUGCAAUUGGGCUUCAACCAGCAGGACUCUGAGCAGCUCUCAGUCAUGCCCCAAGGCUAUAAAUUCCUGGGAGCAGAGGAAGGGACAGAUCCAAAUCUCCCACAACCUGGUGGAGAGCUUUAACUGGUGAUUUAUUACACAGCAGGACAAGCACCUGGCUGCUUUUGUGAUAGGAAGCUGCACAACUCCAGAGUGUGUUGCAUCCCUUUUGGAGGCAGGCAUUUGACAGCAGCUGAAAACCAGACUACCUUUGGUAACUCUACUCUUGUCACUCCAAGUCCCACAGAUCCAUUCUGACAUACCUGACCCUGUCUGUUCACUGCAUAAAGGAUCCACAGAAGAUCCACUCAGAUGACUCCAAUGGAUUCCUCCAGCAAGCAGUGCCUGGCACCCACUGUCCCAUGCUGACAUCAUCCUGUUCAACAGGUAUUUCUAUCUGGCUUGAAUGGUCCUGAAGAGAGGCUGAAGAUGGAUAGUGAGGCAGAAGAUGGCUUCCCACCAGAGCCCCCUGUGACAGGUAUGUGGUUCUGUACAGUAUUGCCAUAAAAAGCCCAAGAUUUAAAGCACCAGUAAUAUCCCUGACAUACACUGGAGAUGUGAUAACCUGGGUCACAGUGUUCAAAAAUCCAUCUGAUUCCAGAGCCUGAGAGGGGGGAAAGAAGAAAAGCCCAGCAAAACUUUCAAAGCAGUUUACAGUUUGUUUUGAGGGACACAGAUACACAGACUCCUGUGCGUUCUGCUUUCUGCGGUGGAGAGCGGAGGAAGCACCCUGCUUGCUUUCCAGCCAGCUUUCGGCCUUUUUUCUCUGGAGGGAGACAGAGAGUUGAACUUUUG